GCGGAACCAGUCAGGGGCCCUGCCCUGCCCCUCACAACCUACCGGCAGCCCUGCACAGCUGAAUUUCACCUCCUGUCACAUAUUCCAUAUUAAAACACAUAGAUAUGUAUGAUACAGGGGGAGAGAUUGCUCCCAGGCCCGGGAUUUGUACGAGGUGAAGUCUGUGGGGUAUGGAGGCCCUGUCGUCCUGACAGGCAGGGACGGCUGUGAGAAGGAAGGCCCGAGGGAAAGAGAGACAUCUCAUUGUGGGAGCUCCAGGGCAAACUCCCUCUCCACAGGUGCAGGAACGACGUUUCCAGGCAAGCUUAAACAGAAGAGACAGCAGAGCAAACACUCCAGCCCAGCCCAUCAUUGGCUUCUGUGCUGGAUUGAACAAGACCAGAAUUCAGACCUCUCAUUGUAGCUCCUUUGCCAAGUUAUUUCCAUGAUUUACAGAGCUCUGAUUAAAAAAAAAAAAAAAAAAGAAGAAGUAGUAACAGUGAGAUGAAAGGAGCAUCCAGACUGUAUUGGAGAAGGUUUUCUAAAGAGGUGGGUUGAUUUUAAUUAACUUCCUGAAUAAAACAAUUCAGGUCUGGAGCUGGCAAUCUCCAAUAAUCACUCUUUGGCCUCUGGAUGAAAAAGGGAGUCAAUCACACAAAACAAUGCCACAAAAAGGCAGUCAAUGGAAGGAAGUAGUUCUGUGUAUUACAGCAGUACACACACUGAGGGAGGCCCAGCAUCCAGAGGCCCAACAUGACAUUAGUCCCCACUGCAGUAGACACUAAAUACACACUGGAAGAGACAGCCCCCUCACUCCAAAGCUUAUCUUCUCUGCAAGACUAGUUCCUGUUUAUAUAUUUUGAGCAUUUCCCCUAAUUCAAACUCUAUAUGCACAGAGAAAGACUUAACUUUACAGUGAGCUACUGUCUCAAGAGGACCACAAACUGCAGUUCCAGUUACCCAACGAUGUGACCAUUCUGUACCAUGAACAUCACUUGGUGUCACUCAACAGAUCCUGCAUCCCUAAUUCUUUCCCUCUGCCCCUCCUUUUGUGUGUUCUCAAAAGAGGUGACUUACACCACAUUUUCCUCAGGAGGAGUUAAUACAGAACUAGAGGAAAUAUCCAAAACCUUCCAGUUGCCAUCAAGCAAGAAAGAUGAACAAUAAGAGGGAAAAAAAGUGUCUGAUAGCGAGAGUGGCUUGGCAAAGCUCAUGACAAGAGGGUAUUAUGCAGAUCUUUGUUCAGCCCUUGCUCCAACAGGAUCCACAGCAUGGCACAUCCUCACUUCAGACACACAUCUAUGCCACUGCACCUUCAAUCCACCCAGCAAAGCUCCUGGACUUCUGCUGAGCAGAGAAUGUGAGUCAGGAGGGUUGUGUUAAAACUGCUCAUUGCUUUUCUGCUGCUGGGAGAGAGAGAAAAGCCUUGUGAUGGAGUUCAGAGUCUGAACUCUGUCCCCCGUCAGUCCCACUGACAUUAAUGUGGUAAUUCUGGGUUAGGAUUUGGGUUAGGAAGGCAUCCUCAAGCAGGAGAGCACACUGGUUUAAAAGCAGGCAUAUUUAUGAAAGGUUGCCCUGGAGUGGUUGUUUUUAUUGAUGUAAUUCAGAGCAGAAUCUGACCCACUGACUCUGAGCCCAGAAUACAAUUACUCAACAGUUUAACCAGCAAGGUAGGCUCUGUGGGAAGAAAAGAAAAUUGGCAUUUAAAGGUGAGAUUUCCUUUGCCACUGCUGGUGUAUUUUUCCUUUUGUCAGCAGAAUUAGUGAGUUAAUUAGAGAAUUAAAGAGUAAGCAGAAAGGGACUAUGGGAGGAGUAGGGAAGCUUCAGGGUUGUGCUUUUAUCAGAAUGGCAUUGCUUCAUUCUGAAUCACCUGAUCUAUGGAUUUAGCAAAAGAAAUUUUGAGACACUUGAAAAAUGAAUGAAAGUGAUCCUGAAUGGGAGGGGGAAAAAAAGCCUAAAGUAAAUAGCUUAAGUCAAUCUGUCCAAAUGUCACAUGUAAGGAUGGCUUUGCUCUGCUUAAUGACAGGAGAGCAAGGAAGGUAAGGGGGAGGAAGGGACCCUUUUUGAAGGACUGUUGUUCUAAUGUACCUGUGUUUAUUUUAAAAGCUUUUCAAGGAGGUAGGGAGGGAAGCUACUGUCUCCCAGUGAUAAAAGUUGAGUGAUUAAGGACCCCAUUUGGGGGCAAUCUGUUCUCUGUCUCUGUAGUUGCCUACAAAAUCCCUGAUAUGCAGGUAGAGCAAGCUCAGGAGAACAUGGCUGAUGGGAGAGGACUGAGAACCAGGACUCCUGGACUUUAUUUCUAGUCCUGACACUGACUGUGUGUGCAGGCAAGUGGAAGUUCAGUGAAACCACCCCUCUGACAAAUGAGGACCAUAGUCUUUACUCCCUUCCUAAGACAGGGAAGCACUGAGGCUGCAGGAGUGUCUGCCAAACACUUGGGUCCAUGGCUGAAAAGUGGCUCAGACACACAAAGUAUCUGGUAGUUUAAACAGAGCAGUGUGCAGAGCUAGACCCUUACUGGAGGAAUUCUAAUUCCUGUAACAUAUCUGUUCUUGUUCUAAUUAGACAUGGUGUUUGAACAUCUGCACCCACCAUCUCCCUGUUCUGUGGCAAAUAAUCUCAUGGUUUAUGGCUCCUCUGUUACAAAUGGAUCCUUGCUCGGCGUCUGAUAUUAAAUAUCAGGCUCGAGUCCACUGUGCUGCCUGUGAGCUACUCUGCUUUAAAAGACAAAAGCUUUUGCUGCAGUUGCUGUCACGUACAGACACUGUAACCUGGCUCUUGUGGAGAAGGCUGGCUGUGGAACAUCUCCCUGCAGGUUGCUGAACAUAAAGGUAUUCUUGGGUUUAGUUCCAGGAGAUUGUUCUGCCAGAAGUUCAGAGCCAGUUCCAGCACUCGCUGACCCCCGCUGUCCUCACACACCUCAACAUGGCCCUUAUUGAGCAGAGAGGAAAAGGCUCUUGCUCUCUGCCUCUCUCCUGUGCUCUCUCUCUCUCAUGUAACGUUGUCCUUUACGAGCAAUGACAGAUUCUCACUGCUCCUCUGUGCCCUUCCAUUGAGAUGAGAAGCUAAGUCCAGAUUUGUUUUUGCUGUCAUUCCAAAUGAAGCCAGAGGAGUUAUGCUGGGAUUCAUCUGCAUUCUGCACUUUACCUAAACAAAUUUGAAAGGACAGGUUUUUGAAUGCAAGUGAUCCUGCAAGGUACCCAGGGUCUUUAGUCAAUGAGAGAGAAGGGCAUUCACAGCCACGCUGUGGAAGAAGGGGCAUUUUCAUGGCACAUGCAAAAUGGUUCCAAAACUGCUUUUCCCCUGUGUUUUGUGAUGUGAUCAAAUUAGACCUCAGAAAAUAUAAGAAAGGAGAGAGAGAAAGAAAGAGGGAAAAAGAGAGAGAGAAAGAGAGAAAGGAAGAGAGAAAGAAAGGG
This is a long non-coding RNA of Pseudopipra pipra, 3395 nucleotides long. RefSeq lists it as uncharacterized. The transcript is spliced from 4 exons. NCBI's taxonomy places the organism in Eukaryota, Metazoa, Chordata, Aves, Passeriformes, Pipridae. The record is from RefSeq and is a predicted model, not a curated record.